This 252-nucleotide ribosomal RNA is filed under the name uncultured bacterium. RNAcentral's name for it is "partial 16S ribosomal RNA". It matches the Rfam family "Bacterial small subunit ribosomal RNA", at positions 523 to 769 of the family's 1533-position model. The record is from RNAcentral.
AUACGUAGGGGGCAAGCGUUAUCCGGAUUUACUGGGUGUAAAGGGAGCGUAGACGGUUCUGCAAGUCUGGAGUGAAAGCCCGGGGCUCAACCCCGGGACUGCUUUGGAAACUGUGGAACUGGAGUGCAGGAGAGGUAAGUGGAAUUCCUAGUGUAGCGGUGAAAUCCCCCGCGUAGAUAUUAGGAGGAACACCAGUGGCGAAGGCGGCUUACUGGACUGUAACUGACGUUGAGGCUCGAAAGCGUGGGGAGC